GAUGUAGCUUUUUUCUGUCUAAAAUCCAAGCAAGAAAUACCAGGGUAGCAUCCCAUUGAUUGGCUGGCUUGACGCGGAGCUUAUCGAAUAUUUCCAUUUUUAUCCCUCGAAUAUUGAUCGAAUAUGUAUGAAAUAUGAUGGUUAAAUGUUUCAUUCACAUUCGGUCAACGUUCGAGUGAUAAACAGAAAUAAUUGGAUCUUUACCAGCUGCAGAAAUGGCUACGGAGUCCUUUUAUAGUAGAGGUGGCUUUCCCUGCAACGAAGUGAAAAUUGAGGGGAUGGAGCAUUAAAGAAACAUGGAAACGUCUCCCUCGUGCUGGAUUUUGGAUAGUGGAUGGCAGGUCGAAUCUGCUACCAGCAUGCUAACGCUCAAGCUUCACAAGCAAGCAGUGACGCUGAUACCGUAUAUUUCCUCAAUCAAAAUAAACAGCUGUUGAAGGUGAGAAAAAGCUGGAUGGCCAAGGCACGAUUUGAAUGCUGAAGCCUUCUAUGAGGAUCCGAUCUAUUCAGGAAGUUAGGAGCUGGAUUUCUCUGAUUGCUGAUGAGCCCAGAAAACUAAUACAUGCGGUCAUAGACAGCAGCAUCAAGGCUAAUAAUGAUGCGUGCCACCGUCACUGCUAUCACAUCAUUGAGGAAUCAAAAUAUAAAACCAACUGUGAGAGAACCAAGGGAGAUACAUUCGUUCAAGGUUGCUACAUAAUUUGGAGAGGUGGCAAUAGGCCGGAAUGCAGCAUUGAACAGCAUCAACCUCGCUGUUCAGUUAAAAACUGUCAAAGCAUGCAGGCAUCACAAAAAUGGCCACAGAAGUGGUUGGUUUUAUGAGCAGCAAAGCUGGUGGUAUCACAUCCGAGAAAAAAAUAACAAAAAGACAUCCAUAAGAAGAAUAUAUCACUAGAAGUUCACUCCUUUUUCCAUCAGGGUUAUAGAGCUUCAUUUAAUAACACUUGUUUAGGGAAGAAAAAAAGAGUUUUCAUCCAAUAAUGACCUUUAAAAAGUAACAUAAAAUAAUAUUUUUUUUAUUUUUUAAAAUUUAA
Molecule: long non-coding RNA, 1034 nt
Organism: Populus nigra (black poplar)
Lineage: Eukaryota; Viridiplantae; Streptophyta; Magnoliopsida; Malpighiales; Salicaceae
Exons: 2
Source: RefSeq, a predicted model, not a curated record